Molecule: long non-coding RNA, 416 nt
Organism: Gymnodraco acuticeps
Lineage: Eukaryota; Metazoa; Chordata; Actinopteri; Perciformes; Bathydraconidae
Exons: 3
Source: RefSeq, a predicted model, not a curated record
GACCAGGUGGAGGGAUUAUAUCUCUUCGCUGGCCUGGGAGCGCCUUGGGAUCCCCCAGUCAGAGCUGGUUGAUGUCGCCAGGGAAAAGAAAGUUUGGGGCUCUCUGCUGGAACUGCUACCCCCGCGACCCGACCACGGAUAAGCGGAAGAAGAUGGAUGGAUGGAUUAACCAUACUUUACCUCGAGGACGGCAGGUCUGUGACAGUGUUUAAACUGUCGGGCGCAGACGCGGAGUUUCUGAAGAUGGACAUUUUUUUUAAAAUAAAAAAUACGGCAAUUCUCAAGUGGUGGCUCACACAACAACCCCAGAGCCACCUCCUGAGCCAGGUGAACAAGUCAUCACAGAUGAGCCAAACAGAGUAGAGGAUGAAGAAAGGAGAACAGGAGAAAGGGACACACAAGAAGGAGAUACAACA